RNAcentral lists this ribosomal RNA (610 nucleotides) under Escherichia coli. Its description in RNAcentral is "bacterial SSU rRNA". It matches the Rfam family "Bacterial small subunit ribosomal RNA", at positions 83 to 689 of the family's 1533-position model. The record is from RNAcentral. Lineage: Bacteria; Pseudomonadati; Pseudomonadota; Gammaproteobacteria; Enterobacterales; Enterobacteriaceae.
CUUUGCUGACGAGUGGCGGACGGGUGAGUAAUGUCUGGGAAACUGCCUGAUGGAGGGGGAUAACUACUGGAAACGGUAGCUAAUACCGCAUAACGUCGCAAGACCAAAGAGGGGGACCUUCGGGCCUCUUGCCAUCGGAUGUGCCCAGAUGGGAUUAGCUAGUAGGUGGGGUAACGGCUCACCUAGGCGACGAUCCCUAGCUGGUCUGAGAGGAUGACCAGCCACACUGGAACUGAGACACGGUCCAGACUCCUACGGGAGGCAGCAGUGGGGAAUAUUGCACAAUGGGCGCAAGCCUGAUGCAGCCAUGCCGCGUGUAUGAAGAAGGCCUUCGGGUUGUAAAGUACUUUCAGCGGGGAGGAAGGGAGUAAAGUUAAUACCUUUGCUCAUUGACGUUACCCGCAGAAGAAGCACCGGCUAACUCCGUGCCAGCAGCCGCGGUAAUACGGAGGGUGCAAGCGUUAAUCGGAAUUACUGGGCGUAAAGCGCACGCAGGCGGUUUGUUAAGUCAGAUGUGAAAUCCCCGGGCUCAACCUGGGAACUGCAUCUGAUACUGGCAAGCUUGAGUCUCGUAGAGGGGGGUAGAAUUCCAGGUGUAGCGGUGAAAUGC